This 859-nucleotide ribosomal RNA is filed under the name uncultured Alloiococcus sp. RNAcentral's name for it is "bacterial SSU rRNA". It matches the Rfam family "Bacterial small subunit ribosomal RNA", at positions 521 to 1380 of the family's 1533-position model. Lineage: Bacteria; Bacillati; Bacillota; Bacilli; Lactobacillales; Carnobacteriaceae. The record is from RNAcentral.
CAAUACGUAGGUGACAAGCGUUGUCCGGAUUUAUUGGGCGUAAAGCGAGCGCAGGCGGGUCCGGUAAGUCUGAUGUGAAAGCCCACGGCUCAACCGUGGAACGGCAUUGGAAACUGGCGGACUUGAAUGUAGCAGAGGAAAGUGGAAUUCCAUGUGUAGCGGUGGAAUGCGUAGAUAUAUGGAGGAACACCAGUGGCGAAAGCGACUUUCUGGGCUAUGAUUGACGCUGAGGCUCGAAAGCGUGGGGAGCGAACAGGAUUAGAUACCCUGGUAGUCCACGCCGUAAACGAUGAGUGCUAAGUGUUGGAGGGUUUCCGCCCUUCAGUGCCGGAGUUAACGCAUUAAGCACUCCGCCUGGGGAUUACGACCGCAAGGUUGAAACUCAAAAGAAUUGACGGGGACCCGCACAAGCGGUGGAGCAUGUGGUUUAAUUCGAAGCAACGCGAAGAACCUUACCAGCUCUUGACAUCUUCUGCCACCUUCAGAGAUGAAGGGUUCCUUCGGGGACAGAAUGACAGGUGGUGCAUGGUUGUCGUCAGCUCGUGUCGUGAGAUGUUGGGUUAAGUCCCGUAACGAGCGCAACCCUUAUUGUUAGUUGCCAGCAUUGAGUUGGGCACUCUAGCAAGACUGCCGGUGAUAAACCGGAGGAAGGCGGGGAUGACGUCAAAUCAUCAUGCCCCUUAUGAGCUGGGCUACACACGUGCUACAAUGGAUGGUACAACGAGUGGCGAGACCGCGAGGUUUAGCUAAUCUCCCAAAGCCAUUCUCAGUUCGGAUCGCAGGCUGCAACUCGCCUGCAUGAAGUCGGAAUCGCUAGUAAUCGCGGAUCAGAAUGCCGCGGUGAAUUCGUUCCCGGGUC